This 479-nucleotide ribosomal RNA is filed under the name uncultured bacterium. RNAcentral's name for it is "bacterial SSU rRNA". It matches the Rfam family "Bacterial small subunit ribosomal RNA", at positions 30 to 507 of the family's 1533-position model. The record is from RNAcentral.
AUUGAACGCUGGCGGAAUGCUUUACACAUGCAAGUCGAACGGUAGAGGGGGCAACCCUCGAGAGUGGCGAACGGGUGAGUAAUAUAUCGGAACGUGCCCAGUCGUGGGGGAUAACGUAGCGAAAGUUACGCUAAUACCGCAUACGAUCUACGGAUGAAAGCGGGGGAUCGCAAGACCUCGCGCGAUUGGAGCGGCCGAUAUCAGAUUAGGUAGUUGGUGGGGUAAAGGCUCACCAAGCCAACGAUCUGUAGCUGGUCUGAGAGGACGACCAGCCACACUGGAACUGAGACACGGUCCAGACUCCUACGGGAGGCAGCAGUGGGGAAUUUUGGACAAUGGGCGAAAGCCUGAUCCAGCCAUUCCGCGUGCAGGAUGAAGGCCCUCGGGUUGUAAACUGCUUUUGUACAGAACGAAAAGGUCUCUAUUAAUACUAGGGGCUCAUGACGGUACUGUAAGAAUAAGCACCGGCUAACUACGUG